GUCAACGACCAUACCCCGUUGUAAAUUACCGGUUCUCGUCCGAUCACCGAAGUCAAGCAGCGGUGGGCGCGGAUAGUACUUGGAUGGGUGACCGCCUGGGAACACCGCGUGUUGUUGACA
Molecule: ribosomal RNA, 120 nt
Organism: Megalopta genalis
Lineage: Eukaryota; Metazoa; Arthropoda; Insecta; Hymenoptera; Halictidae
Source: RefSeq, a predicted model, not a curated record